ACGGCUCAGUAACACGUGGACAACCUACCCUACAGAAGGGGAUAACCCCGGGAAACUGGGGAUAAUACCCUAUAGACUAUGGAUGCUGGAAUGCUCUGUAGCCGAAAGGUCCGCCGCUGUAGGAUGGGUCUGCGGCCGAUUAGGUUGUUGUUGGGGUAACGGCCCAACAAGCCUGUAAUCGGUACGGGUUGUGGGAGCAAGAGCCCGGAGAUGGAUUCUGAGACACGAAUCCAGGCCCUACGGGGCGCAGCAGGCGCGAAAACUUUGCAAUGCGGGAAACCGUGACAAGGGAACUCUGAGUGCCCGUAAAAUCGGGCUGUCCAUCGGUUUAAAAAACCGGUGAAGAAAGGGCCGGGCAAGACCGGUGCCAGCCGCCGCGGUAAUACCGGCGGCUCGAGUGGUGGCCACUAUUACUGGGCUUAAAGCGUUCGUAGCUGGUUUGUUAAGUCUCUGGGGAAAUCUUCCGGCUUAACCGGAAGGCGUCUCAGGGAUACUGGCAGACUAGGGACCGGGAGAGGUGAGAGGUACUCCAGGGGUAGGAGUGAAAUCCUGUAAUCCUUGGGGGACCACCUGUGGCGAAGGCGUCUCACCAGAACGGCUCCGACAGUGAGGGACGAAAGCUGGGGGAGCAAACCGGAUUAGAUACCCGGGUAGUCCCAGCUGUAAACGAUGCGCGUUAGGUGUAUCAGUGACCACGAGUCACUGAGGUGCCGAAGAGAAUCGUGAAAUGUGCCGCCUGGAAGUACGGUCGCAAGGCUGAACUUAAGGAAUUGGCGGGGGGAGCA
Molecule: ribosomal RNA, 785 nt
Filed under: uncultured Methanomicrobiaceae archaeon
Lineage: Archaea; Methanobacteriati; Methanobacteriota; Methanomicrobia; Methanomicrobiales; Methanomicrobiaceae
Description: bacterial SSU rRNA
Rfam family: Archaeal small subunit ribosomal RNA
Source: RNAcentral